GGCGGGGAAGGGGAAGAAGGAGGAGGAGGAGGGUUCCUUCGGUUCUAUCUUCUGUUUCGCCUAUCCUCCUCCUUCUCCUGCUCCUUUGCCUGCGCCAGCAGCAGCAGCAGCAGCAACGAAGAGCGUCCUCCUAAAAAGCAGCAUCCUUCCCCAAAGCGCCUUCCUGGGCCCUUUGCCGCUAGCCAGGCACCUUUGCAGAACGCGCCAGCGAGCCGCCGAAGCCUUGCGAGGGGACGAUGGGCUGCGGAAACUCGACGGCUACCAGCGCCAGCAGCAGAGAUACUACAGGAACAGCAAAAGAUGUAACAGAAGAAUCUGUCUCAGAAGAUGACAAAAGAAGGUAUGUUGCAAUAGACUGGACUGAAGAUAUGGUCUCAAAAAAGGA
This 385-nucleotide long non-coding RNA is filed under the name Salvator merianae (Argentine black and white tegu). RNAcentral describes it as "lncRNA (ENSSMRG00000015902.1)". Lineage: Eukaryota; Metazoa; Chordata; Lepidosauria; Squamata; Teiidae. The record is from RNAcentral.